RNAcentral lists this ribosomal RNA (253 nucleotides) under uncultured bacterium. RNAcentral's name for it is "partial 16S ribosomal RNA". It matches the Rfam family "Bacterial small subunit ribosomal RNA", at positions 524 to 776 of the family's 1533-position model. The record is from RNAcentral.
UACGUAGGUGGCAAGCGUUGUCCGGAUUUACUGGGCGUAAAGAGCCCGCAGGCGGUCGUGCAAGUCGCGUGUGAAAGCCCCCGGCUCAACUGGGGAGGGUCACGCGAUACUGCUCGACUUGAAGGCAGGAGAGGGAAGUGGAAUUCCCGGUGUAGUGGUGAAAUGCGUAGAUAUCGGGAGGAACACCAGUGGCGAAGGCGACUUCCUGGCCUGUUCUUGACGCUGAGGCGCGAAAGCUAGGGUAGCAAACGGG